AAACCAACCGGGAUUGCCUUAGUAACGGCGAGUGAAGCGGCAAAAGCUCAAAUUUGAAAUCUGGUACCUUCGGUGCCCGAGUUGUAAUUUGGAGAGGGCAACUUUGGGGCCGUUCCUUGUCUAUGUUCCUUGGAACAGGACGUCAUAGAGGGUGAGAAUCCCGUGUGGCGAGGAGUGCGGUUCUUUGUAAAGUGCCUUCGAAGAGUCGAGUUGUUUGGGAAUGCAGCUCUAAGUGGGUGGUAAAUUCCAUCUAAAGCUAAAUAUUGGCGAGAGACCGAUAGCGAACAAGUACAGUGAUGGAAAGAUGAAAAGAACUUUGAAAAGAGAGUGAAAAAGUACGUGAAAUUGUUGAAAGGGAAGGGCAUUUGAUCAGACAUGGUGUUUUGUGCCCUCUGCUCCUUGUGGGUAGGGGAAUCUCGCAUUUCACUGGGCCAGCAUCAGUUUUGUGGCAGGAUAAAUCCAUAGGAAUGUAGCUUGCCUCGGUAAGUAUUAUAGCCUGUGGGAAUACUGCC
This 512-nucleotide ribosomal RNA is filed under the name uncultured Saccharomyces. RNAcentral describes it as "eukaryotic LSU rRNA". It matches the Rfam family "Eukaryotic large subunit ribosomal RNA", at positions 62 to 578 of the family's 3401-position model. The record is from RNAcentral. Lineage: Eukaryota; Fungi; Ascomycota; Saccharomycetes; Saccharomycetales; Saccharomycetaceae.